AGAACACUGGGGAGACUAGAUCGAUAGGGCUGCACAGAGGUGGCACAGUUGUGCCAGAGGUAGCAGGGACAGGAGGGCUGGCAAGGGAGGGUCCAGGGCUAGGGGAUUCGGAGUGGCUUCAGGCGGACCACGUGGCUACCUUUUUUCCAGGGCCAGACUUUGGCAGCGUGUAAGGUCUGAGGACAGGGGCACCGGAGGCCGAGGAUGAGAGGCCAGUGCCUGUUUCCAGGCAGCCAGGGCCUCAGAAACUCCGGCCGGAGCACUCACCCGUCGGUGGAGGCCGUUACCAGGGCCACCUUAUUUGCGAGCGGGUCCCGGCGGGUCAUCCCGGAGCUGGCCAUCCGCACCGAAUUCCAAGCCCGGGCACAGAGGCCUAGCAGCCCCGCCUUGUGCAUGGAUCAGACCAGCAAGUAUGGGUUCCACUCUUCCCAGGGGCGGUGACAGAGUAGGGCGAGGGGCAGGACGAAGGGCGGGCCGAUUCCCUGCCCGCCCUGCUCCCCGCCCCGGUACCGCUGUGAGCGGUCUGUGGCCCUGGGCACCUCCAUCCGCCGCGGCGCCCCUCCACCAUCUACCUUCCGCCUGACUGGGGCUUGCCUUUCCGGGCUGGCGGGUGCCACUUCGGAUAAACCCUUUGGACUCCUAACUCCAAUCAGGUGUCUGCUUUGUUGAGGACUCACAGACACAGUCUCCUUUCUUCAAGAUCUUUACAAUGCAAGACCUCACUAACACACAGGGAUGGUCUCCCAGAGGGUCUGUGCUGUUCCUUCACUCAGAACAUCAAGAUGCACUGAAGUAAGGAUCCUCUAUUCUACAGUUCCUGCUAGCUGAGCUAUUCCAUGGGGGCUUCAGCAGGAAAUUCCAAGGUUGGCUUUGACAAGCUAAGGCCGGCUGGUGGAGCACAUCGAGUUCUGGAGGUUCAUGUGUGUUUUCAUGAAGAUCUGUCUGCCCGUAGCAGAUAAAGAGUUGUUGCCCCACUCCUCCUGGGGUCUUCUAUUUUCCUGGGAGGAAUUUCUGGAUUAACUGAACACACACACACACACACACACCCUUUUGAAGCAUCAACAGUAAUUCUGAGUUCUUAGGGACAAUGCAGAUUAAAUCCACAAUAAGAAAGACAACUAUGGCCAGGUGUGGUGGCUCACGCCUGUAAUCCCAGAACUUUGGGAGGCUGAGGCGGAUGGAUCACCUGAGGUCAGGAGUUAGAGACCAACCUGACCAACAUGGAGAAACCCCGUUUCUACUAAAAAUGCAAAAUUAGCCGGGCAUGGUGGCAGGCGCCUGUAAUCCCAAAUACUCGGGAGGCUGAGGCAGGAGAAUCACUUAAACCCGGGAGGCAGAGGUUGCAGUGAGCCAAGAUCGCGCCAUUGCACUCCAGCCUGGGCAAGAAGAGCAAAACUCCAUCUCAAAAAAAAAAAAAGAGUACUAUUGAUCCAGAGGUGACCAGACUAGCCUCACUGGAGAUAAUAGGUGACAUUAUUAUGCAAAGUGGUUUCAGUUCCCUUGUCUUGUUUUUGGAAUAGUAUAAGAGGCCUACAAUACGAAUAAAUAAGGCCCAUCACAAGCCUCACCAAAGGACAAAACUAAUCCACUUCUGAAGAAGGCUCUUUGUUGGGCCAGAUCAAAUCCUUGGACAGAACUGUACUCUUAAUCUCUGUAGUGAAAGUGGGGGGUAGUUUAAGAAUUUAUUAACCUUCUACCUUGAGCAAUCCCUCAGAAGUAAGAGGUGUCAGGCCUCUGAGCCGAAGCUCAGCCAUUGUAACCCCUGUGACCUGCACAUAUAUGUCCAGAUGGCCUGCAGGAGCCAAGAAGUCUGGGGCAGCUGAAAAACCACACAAGAAGUAAAACAGCCAGUUCCUGCCUUAACUGAUUAACCAACAUUACAACAUUCCACCAUUGUGACCUGUCCCUGUCCUACCUUAACUGAUCAAUCGACCUUGUGACAGUCUUCUUCUGGACAAUGGGUCUUAUCAUCUCCCCACCAUGUACCUUGUGACCCCCUCCUCUGCUAACAAUAGAUAACCACUUUUUACUGUAAUUUUCCAUUACCUACCCAACUCCUAUAAAGCAACCCCUUCCCCAUCUCCCUUCACUGACUCUGUUUUCAGACUCAGCCCACUUGCACUCAAGUGAAUAAACAGCCUUGUUGCUCACACAAAGCCUGUUGGUGGUCUCUUCACACAGAUGUGCUUGACAAAAGGGAAGGGUGGAUUUGUCCUUCUGGUUACAUAUGUUCUGCUCACUCAUUUUGAAUUUAAUUAAACAAGGAUUGCCCUUACCUUUUCAUACUUUGUAAGAAACCAUAAAUACUUAUGCACCAUGAUUUUUUUAAAGAAACACUUUUUAUUUUGAAGUAAUUAUAGUCUCAUAGGAAGUUGCAAAAGUAGUACAUAGAGUCCCUGAGUACUCUUCCCCCAGUGGUGACAACUGUAGUAUAAUAUCAAUUCUGGGAAAUUGACAUUGGUACAAUACCAAAUAUACUAUGCCUUUUUCUCUAAGGCAUGAUGUUGCAGUAGCAUCCUUGUACAUGUAGCUAGGAGAACUUGUACUAAGCCCAGAUAAAUAGUUGAAGUACAAGGGCAAGGAGUGUGUCUUUGAUAUUUUAAUAGAAAUCACCUAUUGCCCUCUAGAAAAGCUGUACCCUUUUCCAGUGGCAGAGAACCUUCCUGAAAGGCAGUCCUGUGUAAUGGUGUCCAUUUCAUCACACCCUUAAAACACUCAGCUUUAACAAACAUGCAGAUUUUUGCUGAUGUGGGAGAAAAUAUUAAUUAUUAAUGAUAUUAAGGUGAUUAUCUUUUCGUAUGUUUAUAGAUAUUUGUAUUUCUUUUUAAAUGAACUGCUCAUGACCUUUGUCUACUUUUAUUUGGGUUUACUUCUUUCUCAUUUAUUCCUAUAAACUCUUUAUAAAAGGAAAUUAACCAUUUGAUUGUCAUAUGUUGUGAAUAUUUUUACCAUUUUGACUUUUGAAUUUAUGUCUUUUUAAUGAAUUGUAGAAGUUUAAAAUCUUUAUGGAAUAAAUUUAUUUAGUUUUUUGUUUAUGG
Molecule: long non-coding RNA, 3038 nt
Filed under: Homo sapiens (human)
Lineage: Eukaryota; Metazoa; Chordata; Mammalia; Primates; Hominidae
Description: non-protein coding DHRS4-AS1:8
Source: RNAcentral